RNAcentral lists this ribosomal RNA (508 nucleotides) under uncultured bacterium. Its description in RNAcentral is "partial 16S ribosomal RNA". It matches the Rfam family "Bacterial small subunit ribosomal RNA", at positions 28 to 507 of the family's 1533-position model. The record is from RNAcentral.
GACGAACGCUGGCGGCGUGCCUAAUACAUGCAAGUCGAACGCUUCUUUCCUCCCGAGUGCUUGCACUCAAUUGGAAAGAGGAGUGGCGGACGGGUGAGUAACCCGUGGGUAACCUACCCAUCAGAGGGGGAUAACACUUGGAAACAGGUGCUAAUACCGCAUAACAGUUUAUGCCGCAUGGCAUACGAGUGAAAGGCGCUUUCGGGUGUCGCUGAUGGAUGGACCCGCGGUGCAUUAGCUAGUUGGUGAGGUAACGGCUCACCAAGGCGACGAUGCGUAGCCGACCUGAGAGGGUGAUCGGCCACACUGGGACUGAGACACGGCCCAGACUCCUACGGGAGGCAGCAGUAGGGAAUCUUCGGCAAUGGACGAAAGUCUGAUCGAGCAACGCCGCGUGAGUGAAGAAGGUUUUCGGAUCGUAAAACUCUGUUGUUAGGGAAGAACAAGGACGUUAGUAACUGAACGUCCCCUGACGGUAUCUAACCAGAAAGCCACGGCUAACUACGUG